GUUCUGAUGACCUGUGACCUCUGAAAUGACCUUUGCCCUCACACUGAGUUCACAGGGACAUACUUGUUUCUCUGAAUGUUUCAGCUCUGUCACUGAAUCAAGAGAAAACCUGCAGUCUGAACCAGAGACUCACACAGAAUGAAAAAGACAUGAUUUCCAGAUUUGUAAAGAAGUGAGAACACACAGCACUGGAUCAUGAGACUAAAACAGGUUUAGAGGCUCAGGUUUCAUCUGCAUGUGGGGAUGUUCAUGUCUGUUUUCCUCCAGGAGGGUUUUUCCACAGAGAGUCACUUUGCAUCAGCACAUGCUUCAGCGCUCCGAGUGUUUAUAGCGUUCAGACUCAACACUUUAUAACACACUGCUGUUUACCACGGUACAAAACCAACAAACACAAUGAAUCUCUUCAGCAGCUUCAUCUGGAUUCUGGCAGCUUUUAUUCCAGCAUCCAGAGGAAUCACUGUGACUCAGCCUGAAGCUGUGACUGUUUCUGAACGACAAGACGCCACGAUAGAGUGUAAAACUGAUCCUGGAAUAUUUAGCUGGGGUUUAGCUUGGUAUCAGCAGAAACCUGGAGAAGCUCCUAAACUCAUCAUUUAUGGUGUAAACGAUCGCUACAGUAACAGUUUCAGUCGAUUCAGUGGGAAUGGAGCACAAGGUGGGACUGAUUUCACUCUGACCAUCAGUGGAGUCCAGACUGAAGAUGUUGCACAUUAUUACUGUCAGAGUGUACACAUCACAGACAGUAACUUGAUGUUCACACAGUGA
This is a non-coding RNA of Carassius auratus (goldfish), 765 nucleotides long. The record is from the annotation of a RefSeq genome assembly. NCBI's taxonomy places the organism in Eukaryota, Metazoa, Chordata, Actinopteri, Cypriniformes, Cyprinidae.